CCGGCGAUGUCCGAAUGGGGAAACCCAGUGCAAUUCGUUGCACUAUCGUUAACUGAAUACAUAGGUUAACGAGGCGAACCGGGGGAACUGAAACAUCUAAGUACCCCGAGGAAAAGAAAUCAACCGAGAUUCCCCCAGUAGCGGCGAGCGAACGGGGAGCAGCCCAGAGUCUGAAUCAGCUUGUGUGUUAGUGGAACGGUCUGGAAAGUCCGACGGUACAGGGUGAUAGUCCCGUACACCAAAAUGCACAGGCUGUGAACUCGAAGAGUAGGGCGGGACACGUGGUAUCCUGUCUGAAUAUGGGGGGACCAUCCUCCAAGGCUAAAUACUCCUGACUGACCGAUAGUGAACCAGUACCGUGAGGGAAAGGCGAAAAGAACCCCGGCGAGGGGAGUGAAAAAGAACCUGAAACCGUGUACGUACAAGCAGUGGGAGCACCUUCGGGUGUGACUGCGUACCUUUUGUAUAAUGGGUCAGCGACUUAUAUUCUGUAGCAAGGUUAACCGUAUAGGGGAGCCGCAGGGAAACCGAGUCUUAACUGGGCGUUAAGUUGCAGGGUAUAGACCCGAAACCCGGUGAUCUAGCCAUGGGCAGGUUGAAGGUUGGGUAACACUAACUGGAGGACCGAACCGACUAAUGUUGAAAAAUUAGCGGAUGACUUGUGGCUGGGGGUGAAAGGCCAAUCAAACCGGGAGAUAGCUGGUUCUCCCCGAAAGCUAUUUAGGUAGCGCCUCGUGAACUCAUCUUCGGGGGUAGAGCACUGUUUCGGCUAGGGGGUCAUCCCGACUUACCAACCCGAUGCAAACUACGAAUACCGAAGAAUGUUAUCACGGGAGACACACGGCGGGUGCUAACGUCCGUCGUGAAGAGGGAAACAACCCAGACCGCCAGCUAAGGUCCCAAAGUCAUGGUUAAGUGGGAAACGAUGUGGGAAGGCACAGACAGCCAGGAUGUUGGCUUAGAAGCAGCCAUCAUUUAAAGAAAGCGUAAUAGCUCACUGGUCGAGUCGGCCUGCGCGGAAGAUGUAACGGGGCUAAACCAUGCACCGAAGCUGCGGCAGCGACACUAUGUGUUGUUGGGUAGGGGAGCGUUCUGUAAGCCUGCGAAGGUGUGCUGUGAGGCAUGCUGGAGGUAUCAGAAGUGCGAAUGCUGACAUAAGUAACGAUAAAGCGGGUGAAAAGCCCGCUCGCCGGAAGACCAAGGGUUCCUGUCCAACGUUAAUCGGGGCAGGGUGAGUCGACCCCUAAGGCGAGGCCGAAAGGCGUAGUCGAUGGGAAACAGGUUAAUAUUCCUGUACUUGGUGUUACUGCGAAGGGGGGACGGAGAAGGCUAUGUUAGCCGGGCGACGGUUGUCCCGGUUUAAGCAUGUAGGCUGGCUGAUUGUCCAGGCAAAUCCGGAUAAUCAAGGCUGAGGUGUGAUGACGAGGCACUACGGUGCUGAAGUAACAAAUGCCCUGCUUCCAGGAAAAGCCUCUAAGCAUCAGGUAACAUCAAAUCGUACCCCAAACCGACACAGGUGGUCAGGUAGAGAAUACCAAGGCGCUUGAGAGAACUCGGGUGAAGGAACUAGGCAAAAUGGUGCCGUAACUUCGGGAGAAGGCACGCUGGUGUGUAGGUGAAGUCCCUGCGGAUGGAGCUGAGACCAGUCGAAGAUACCAGCUGGCUGCAACUGUUUAUUAAAAACACAGCACUGUGCAAACACGAAAGUGGACGUAUACGGUGUGACGCCUGCCCGGUGCCGGAAGGUUAAUUGAUGGGGUUAUCCGUAAGGAGAAGCUCUUGAUCGAAGCCCCGGUAAACGGCGGCCGUAACUAUAACGGUCCUAAGGUAGCGAAAUUCCUUGUCGGGUAAGUUCCGACCUGCACGAAUGGCGUAAUGAUGGCCAGGCUGUCUCCACCCGAGACUCAGUGAAAUUGAACUCGCUGUGAAGAUGCAGUGUACCCGCGGCAAGACGGAAAGACCCCGUGAACCUUUACUAUAGCUUGACACUGAACAUUGAGCCUUGAUGUGUAGGAUAGGUGGGAGGCUUUGAAGCGUGGACGCCAGUCUGCGUGGAGCCAACCUUGAAAUACCACCCUUUAAUGUUUGAUGUUCUAACGUUGGCCCCUGACCGGGGUUGCGGACAGUGUCUGGUGGGUAGUUUGACUGGGGCGGUCUCCUCCCAAAGCGUAACGGAGGAGCACGAAGGUUAGCUAAUCCUGGUCGGACAUCAGGAGGUUAGUGCAAUGGCAUAAGCUAGCUUGACUGCGAGCGUGACGGCGCGAGCAGGUGCGAAAGCAGGUCAUAGUGAUCCGGUGGUUCUGAAUGGAAGGGCCAUCGCUCAACGGAUAAAAGGUACUCCGGGGAUAACAGGCUGAUACCGCCCAAGAGUUCAUAUCGACGGCGGUGUUUGGCACCUCGAUGUCGGCUCAUCACAUCCUGGGGCUGAAGUAGGUCCCAAGGGUAUGGCUGUUCGCCAUUUAAAGUGGUACGCGAGCUGGGUUUAGAACGUCGUGAGACAGUUCGGUCCCUAUCUGCCGUGGGCGCUGGAGAAUUGAGGGGGGCUGCUCCUAGUACGAGAGGACCGGAGUGGACGCAUCACUGGUGUUCGGGUUGUCAUGCCAAUGGCACUGCCCGGUAGCUAAAUGCGGAAGAGAUAAGUGCUGAAAGCAUCUAAGCACGAAACUUGCCCCGAGAUGAGUUCUCCCUGAGACU
Molecule: ribosomal RNA, 2694 nt
Filed under: Klebsiella pneumoniae
Lineage: Bacteria; Pseudomonadati; Pseudomonadota; Gammaproteobacteria; Enterobacterales; Enterobacteriaceae
Description: partial 23S ribosomal RNA
Rfam family: Bacterial large subunit ribosomal RNA
Source: RNAcentral